AUUGAACGCUGGCGGCAUGCCUUACACAUGCAAGUCGAACGGCAGCACGGGAGCAAUCCUGGUGGCGAGUGGCGAACGGGUGAGUAAUAUAUCGGAACGUGCCCAGUUGUGGGGGAUAGCCCGGCGAAAGCCGGAUUAAUACCGCAUACGACCUGAGGGUGAAAGCGGGGGAUCGCAAGACCUCGCGCAGUUGGAGCGGCCGAUAUCAGAUUAGCUAGUGGUGAGGUAAAGGCUCACCAAGGCGACGAUCUGUAGCUGGUCUGAGAGGACGACCAGCCACACUGGGACUGAGACACGGCCCAGACUCCUACGGGAGGCAGCAGUGGGGAAUUUUGGACAAUGGGCGCAAGCCUGAUCCAGCCAUGCCGCGUGUGGGAAGAAGGCC
RNAcentral lists this ribosomal RNA (385 nucleotides) under uncultured bacterium. Its description in RNAcentral is "bacterial SSU rRNA". It matches the Rfam family "Bacterial small subunit ribosomal RNA", at positions 29 to 416 of the family's 1533-position model. The record is from RNAcentral.